GAGUAAUGUCUGGGAAACUGCCUGAUGGAGGGGGGAGUAACUACUGGAAACGGUAGCUAAUACCGCAUAACGUCGCAAGACCAAAGAGGGGGACCUUCGGGCCUCUUGCUAUCAGAUGUGCCCAGAUGGGAUUAGCUAGUAGGUGGGGUAACGGCUCACCUAGGCGACGAUCCCUAGCUGGUCUGAGAGGAUGACCAGCCACACUGGAACUGAGACACGGUCCAGACUCCUACGGGAGGCAGCAUG
Molecule: ribosomal RNA, 246 nt
Filed under: uncultured bacterium
Lineage: Bacteria
Description: partial 16S ribosomal RNA
Rfam family: Bacterial small subunit ribosomal RNA
Source: RNAcentral